ACGACGCUGGCGGCGUGCCUAAUACAUGCAAGUCGAACGGUCUUUCUAUGGAAGCUUGCUUCCACUGAGAAGAUAGUGGCGAACGGGUGAGUAACACGUGGGUAACCUGCCCAUAAGAGGGGGAUAACAUCCGGAAACGGGUGCUAAUACCGCAUAGUUUUCUUGAUCGCAUGAUUGAGAAAGGAAAGACGGCCUUUGUGCUGUCGCUUAUGGAUGGACCCGCGGCGUAUUAGUUAGUUGGUGAGGUAAUGGCUCACCAAGACGAUGAUACGUAGCCGACCUGAGAGGGUGAUCGGCCACAUUGGGACUGAGACACGGCCCAAACUCCUACGGGAGGCAGCAGUAGGGAAUCUUCCGCAAUGGACGAAAGUCUGACGGAGCAACGCCGCGUGAGUGAAGAAAAGGUUUUCGGAUCGUAAAACUCUGUUGUCAGAGAAGAACAAGUUGGAGAGUAACUGCUCCAGCCUUGACGGUAUCUGACCAGAAAGCCACGGCUAACUACGUGCCAGCCGCUGC
Molecule: ribosomal RNA, 516 nt
Filed under: uncultured bacterium
Lineage: Bacteria
Description: bacterial SSU rRNA
Rfam family: Bacterial small subunit ribosomal RNA
Source: RNAcentral